Molecule: ribosomal RNA, 253 nt
Filed under: uncultured bacterium
Lineage: Bacteria
Description: partial 16S ribosomal RNA
Rfam family: Bacterial small subunit ribosomal RNA
Source: RNAcentral
UACAGAGGGCUCAAGCGUUGUUCGGAAUCAUUGGGCGUAAAGGGCGCGUAGGCGGCGGUGUAAGUCGGGUGUGAAAUCUCAGAGCUCAACUCUGAAACUGCACUCGAUACUGCUCUGCUUGAGGACUGGAGAGGAGACUGGAAUUUACGGUGUAGCAGUGAAAUGCGUAGAGAUCGUAAGGAAGACCAGUGGCGAAGGCGGGUCUCUGGACAGUUCCUGACACUGAGGCACGAAGGCCAGGGGAGCAAACGGG